ACCUCGGAUCAGGUAGGGAUACCCGCUGAACUUAAGCAUAUCAAUAAGCGGAGGAAAAGAAACCAACAGGGAUUGCCUCAGUAACGGCGAGUGAAGCGGCAACAGCUCAAAUUUGAAAUCUGGCCUCUUUGGGGUCCGAGUUGUAAUUUGUAGAGGAUGUUUCGGGUACCGCCUCGGUUUAAAUUUCUUGGAACAGAAUGUCAAAGAGGGUGAGAAUCCCGUCUUGGACCGGCGGUAGGGCCCAUGUGAAACUCCUUCGACGAGUCGAGUUGUUUGGGAAUGCAGCUCAAAAUGGGUGGUAAAUUUCAUCUAAAGCUAAAUAUUGGCCAGAGACCGAUAGCGCACAAGUAGAGUGAUCGAAAGAUGAAAAGCACUUUGAAAAGAGAGUUAAACAGUAUGUGAAAUUGUUGAAAGGGAAGCGCUUACAACCAGACUUGCGCGCGGCGGUUCCCCCUUCCUUUUGGUUGGGCUACUCCGUCGUGUCCAGGCCAACAUCGGUUCUGGGGGUCGGUUAAAGACCCUGGGAAUGUAUCUACCCUUCGGGCGUAGACUUAUAGCUCAGGGUGUCAUGCGACCUCCCGGGACCGAGGAAC
Molecule: ribosomal RNA, 593 nt
Filed under: Exophiala sp. C_2_BESC_319k
Lineage: Eukaryota; Fungi; Ascomycota; Eurotiomycetes; Chaetothyriales; Herpotrichiellaceae
Description: eukaryotic LSU rRNA
Rfam family: Eukaryotic large subunit ribosomal RNA
Source: RNAcentral